Molecule: ribosomal RNA, 625 nt
Filed under: uncultured soil bacterium
Lineage: Bacteria
Description: bacterial SSU rRNA
Rfam family: Bacterial small subunit ribosomal RNA
Source: RNAcentral
UGCAAGUCGAACGGGACCCGCAAGGGUUCAGUGGCGAACGGGUGCGUAACACGUGAAGAAUUUGUCCAUCGGCGGGGGAUAGCCGGCCCAACGGCCGGGUAAUACCGCGUACGACCCUCGGGGGGCAUCCCCUGAAGGUGAAAGCCGCAAGGCGCCUAUGGAGAACUUCGCGGCCUAUCAGCUAGUUGGUGAGGUCAUGGCUCACCAAGGCGACGACGGGUAGCUGGUCCGAGAGGAUGACCAGCCACAUUGGGACUGAGACACGGCCCAGACUCCUACGGGAGGCAGCAGUGGGGAAUAUUGCGCAAUGGGCGAAAGCCUGACGCAGCGACGCCGCGUGUGGGAUGACGGCCUUCGGGUUGUAAACCACUGUCGCGAGGGACGAAGAUCUGACGGUACCUCGAGAGGAAGCACCGGCUAACUCUGUGCCAGCAGCCGCGGUAAUACAGAGGGUGCGAGCGUUGUCCGGAAUCACUGGGCGUAAAGGGCGCGUAGGUGGCCUGGUAAGUAGGGGGUGAAAUCUCGAGGCUCAACUUCGAGGCUGCCUCCUAAACUGUCAGGCUCGAGCAGAGUAGAGGCAGGUGGAAUUCCCGGUGUAGCGGUGGAAUGCGUAGAGAUCGGGAAG